Molecule: ribosomal RNA, 254 nt
Filed under: uncultured bacterium
Lineage: Bacteria
Description: partial 16S ribosomal RNA
Rfam family: Bacterial small subunit ribosomal RNA
Source: RNAcentral
UACAGAGGGUGCAAGCGUUGUCCGGAAUUACUGGGCGUAAAAGAGCUCGUAGGCGGUUUGUCGCGUCUGCUGUGAAAACUGGAGGCUCAACCUCCAGCCUGCAGUGGGUACGGGCAGACUAGAGUGCGGUAGGGGAGAUUGGAAUUCCUGGUGUAGCGGUGGAAUGCGCAGAUAUCAGGAGGAACACCGAUGGCGAAGGCAGAUCUCUGGGCCGUAACUGACGCUGAGGAGCGAAAGCAUGGGGAGCGAACAGG